UACGGAGGGUGCAAGCGUUAUCCGGAUUUAUUGGGUUUAAAGGGUCCGUAGGCGGAUCUGUAAGUCAGUGGUGAAAUCUCACAGCUUAACUGUGAAACUGCCAUUGAUACUGCGGGUCUUGAGUGUUGUUGAAGUAGCUGGAAUAAGUAGUGUAGCGGUGAAAUGCAUAGAUAUUACUUAGAACACCAAUUGCGAAGGCAGGUUACUAAGCAACAACUGAUGCUGAUGGACGAAAGCGUGGGGAGCGAACAGG
RNAcentral lists this ribosomal RNA (253 nucleotides) under uncultured bacterium. Its description in RNAcentral is "partial 16S ribosomal RNA". It matches the Rfam family "Bacterial small subunit ribosomal RNA", at positions 524 to 776 of the family's 1533-position model. The record is from RNAcentral.